GGGGGCGAUUUUACCUGUAAUAGUCAGUGCAACAUUAUAUAGACUUCAUGCUGAUGCUUCCGCGUCUACAUGGAACUAUAUAAGCAGGUGAGACUUCUUAGAGGGACUGGCACACAAUAUAAAGUGCACGAGGAAGAGCAAUAACAGGUCUGUGAUGCCCUAAGAUGUCCGGGGCCGCACGCGUGCUACAAUGACGAUGCAAGUGAGCAUGAUUUACCUGGUUCGAAAGGAUUGGGAAAACUGUUCAAUCAUCGUCGUGACUGGGAUUGGGGUUUGUAAUUAUCCCCCAUGAACGAGGAAUUCCUAGUAAGCACAAGUCAUAAGCUUGUGCUGAUUACGUCCCUGCCCUUUGUACACACCGCCCGUCGCUACUACCGAUUGAAUGGUUUAGCAAGGUUAUUGGAUUGGCCUUUUGCGGCUCGCGCUGCAUUAAGCUGAGAAGAUGACCGAACUUGAUCAUUUAGAGGAAGUAAAAGUCGUAACAAGGUUUCCGUAGGUGAACCUGCGGAAGGAUCAUUAUCCAAAUAUUCCUAUCCAAACUGACUUGCGCUGGCUGUUCUCUAACGCCCGGGAACAGCUGGACUAGUCGCCACCUCAAUACUCUCUUUCUAACGGGUAUUGUCGUUUCGAUACAGUCCGUUGACUGGGGCUACGGCCGACGCAUGUGGCAACCAGGUGGUAGUGGUUGGCUCUUAGCGUUGGUCGUCCUAUGCUUCCCUCAGUACAACACUGCCACUAUGCCAUUUCUCCAUUUUCACUCACACACGAUGACAGUGUCUUCGGGCAUUGUUGUUAAAUCACCAUAACAAAGGUCAGCUUUGCCACUGGCGAAGAGGAUCAAUAUAUAUAAACCAAAUAAAAUGUACAACUUCAGGUGGGGAUCCUCGUCGGGGUCAUAAAAAAAAAAAACCCCCCA
This 916-nucleotide ribosomal RNA is filed under the name Thaparocleidus asoti. Its description in RNAcentral is "bacterial SSU rRNA". The stretch from base 1 to 519 matches the Rfam family "Eukaryotic small subunit ribosomal RNA", at positions 1333 to 1831 of the family's 1831-position model. The record is from RNAcentral. Lineage: Eukaryota; Metazoa; Platyhelminthes; Monogenea; Dactylogyridea; Ancylodiscoididae.